This is a long non-coding RNA of Harpia harpyja (harpy eagle), 248 nucleotides long. RefSeq lists it as uncharacterized. The transcript has 3 exons. The record is from RefSeq and is a predicted model, not a curated record. NCBI's taxonomy places the organism in Eukaryota, Metazoa, Chordata, Aves, Accipitriformes, Accipitridae.
GGUAUCAUUUAAGCUGUUAAAGAAUACUCACCAUGCUGCUUUCUGUCUCACUGAGCCUUCUCAGGUGGAGAUCGGAGAGGCUCCCAUCUGAUAAUGGACACUGUGUAUGCAGGACCCACACCUUUGUGCAGAAAAACAGGACAUUCCAAAGCUGUAUGGUCACACAAGAUACUUUGGGAAGGCUGCCACGGAGCACAGCAGUCUGCAGAAGGACAAGAAUCUCACUGAAUCUCACUAGCACCUAGAGG